This is a long non-coding RNA of Clupea harengus (Atlantic herring), 400 nucleotides long. RefSeq lists it as uncharacterized. Lineage: Eukaryota; Metazoa; Chordata; Actinopteri; Clupeiformes; Clupeidae. The record is from RefSeq and is a predicted model, not a curated record.
UUCAAAGGAUGUCUUCAGAGUGGUAUUUUCAGUCACAGGCCACAGCCAUGGUAGCGCUUAUUGGCCUUACUGUGUGUGUAGUCUUCUACACCAGCUUCCUUCUUUCACUGAGGUACCUAAACAAGACUGAAGAACCAUCAGACGCAGCAGAGAUGCAAGACCUGAAUUCAUGAAAAAUGGCUGUACAUUUGAAGAUUAACAUUUGAGAGAAUUUGUCACUCAGAAAUGCUCUGAUUGUGAAAUGCUUAGAUUAUUACAUUGCGUUAAUGUGUGUGACAGUGUGGCUGUCAUUAUGAAAUACUGUAAAAUGACAGACACACACACAGUGUUACGCAUAUGAAGGAGACUGUAAAUAAAUUCAUGUUCUGAAGUGUAUUAAACAAUAUCUCAUGUGUCAUGA